Molecule: long non-coding RNA, 240 nt
Filed under: Ananas comosus (pineapple)
Lineage: Eukaryota; Viridiplantae; Streptophyta; Magnoliopsida; Poales; Bromeliaceae
Description: long non-coding RNA (ACOM_LNC021867)
Source: RNAcentral
CUUAAAUUAUUUUGAUAGAUUUAUCUCAAAUUCUUUUCAUAUAAAUUUUAUAAAAUAAAUUAUUGUAUAAAUUUACUUUGCGCAUAAUUAUUUUUAUAUAAUUUUUUAUUUAAUUAAUAAUUAGACUUAUAAAACUAUAUAAAAAUAUUAAAAAAUAUAUAAUUUAUUAUAAAAAUAAUUUUAUAUCCGCAGCAUCGCGAGGGUAAUUCACUAGUAAAUAAAUAAAAGAAAGACAAGUCU